CUACGGGAGGCAGCAGUGGGGAAUAUUGGACAAUGGGCGAAAGCCUGAUCCAGCCAUGCCGCGUGAGUGAUGAAGGCCUUAGGGUUGUAAAGCUCUUUUAGUGGGGAAGAUAAUGACGGUACCCACAGAAAAAGCCCCGGCUAACUUCGUGCCAGCAGCCGCGGUAAUACGAAGGGGGCUAGCGUUGUUCGGAUUUACUGGGCGUAAAGCGCACGUAGGCGGAUCGUUAAGUCGGGGGUGAAAUCCUGGAGCUCAACUCCAGAACUGCCUUCGAUACUGGCGAUCUUGAGUCCGGAAGAGGUGAGUGGAACUCCUAGUGUAGAGGUGGAAUUCGUAGAUAUUAGGAAGAACACCAGUGGCGAAGGCGGCUCACUGGUCCGGUACUGACGCUGAGGUGCGAAAGCGUGGGGAGCAAACAGGAUUAGAACCCCCUGUAGUCC
Molecule: ribosomal RNA, 440 nt
Filed under: uncultured bacterium
Lineage: Bacteria
Description: bacterial SSU rRNA
Rfam family: Bacterial small subunit ribosomal RNA
Source: RNAcentral